This 451-nucleotide ribosomal RNA is filed under the name uncultured bacterium. RNAcentral describes it as "partial 16S ribosomal RNA". It matches the Rfam family "Bacterial small subunit ribosomal RNA", at positions 28 to 507 of the family's 1533-position model. The record is from RNAcentral.
GAUGAACGCUGGCGGCGUGCCUAACACAUGCAAGUCGAGCGGCAGCGCGGGGUGCUUGCACCCUGUCGGCGAGCGGCGGACGGCUGAGUAACGCGUGGGAACGUGCCCCAAAGUGAGGAAUAACUGCCCGAAAGGGUAGCUAAUACCGCAUAUUAUCUUCGGAUCAAAGGAUUUAUCCGCUUUGGGAGCGGCUCGCGUCGGAUUAGGUAGUUGGUGAGGUAAUGGCUCACCAAGCCGACGAUCCGUAGCUGGGCAGAGAGGAUGACCAGCCAGACUGGCACUGAGACACGGUCCAGAAUCCUACGGGAGGCAGCAGUGAGGAAUCUUACACAAUGGGCGAAAGCAUGAUGGAGCAACGAUGCGUGAAGGACGAAGGCCUUCGGGUUGUAAACUGCUUUUAUAAGUGAGGAAUAUGACGGUAACUAAUGAAUAAGGAUCGGCUAACUACGUG